This is a long non-coding RNA of Heterocephalus glaber (naked mole-rat), 206 nucleotides long. RefSeq lists it as uncharacterized. The record is from RefSeq and is a predicted model, not a curated record. NCBI's taxonomy places the organism in Eukaryota, Metazoa, Chordata, Mammalia, Rodentia, Bathyergidae.
GCUAUUGGCUGAUAGCGGUAAAGCCCGCCCUACUACUUCCGUUAUGCUUCUUUAAGUAAAAUCCCCACGGGUUAUUCGGUCUUUUGGAGACGGCGAAACGGGAGAGAUCCAGCCCUGCCAAGGACGUCGGAUCUCAGAGUCUUAAGUGUAUUUUCAGCGCUUUCUCCCCACUUAUAAGCCCCCCCAAUAAAGUGAUUUGGCCCCCA